This is a long non-coding RNA of Perca flavescens (yellow perch), 368 nucleotides long. RefSeq lists it as uncharacterized. The record is from RefSeq and is a predicted model, not a curated record. The transcript has 3 exons. Lineage: Eukaryota; Metazoa; Chordata; Actinopteri; Perciformes; Percidae.
AGGAGCACAAGACCUGAAGCCCUGAGCAAUGGAAAAUCAUCUGAUGAGUCAUCCAGUUUUACCCCUUCAUCCAGAUGGAUUUAUAUUUGGAGAAGCCCCGAGCCCUUAUCAUCUAUUAAAGUUGGAGGUGUUUGGUGAAGCGAGGGAGAAGCAUGAGUACCCAACCAUGUGUGAUUGAGCAACUGGUCAAUAAAGAGAAAGAUGGUGUUGAAAACACUCCCCAAGGCCCGUUUGAGAUGAGCCGGGUCUGCGCAGAAUCGAUCACCGGCGAUCGCGCACCCAAUGCAUGCCGUUUAGAUUUGCGUCCGACUUGAUCCCGACUUGCUCUGACGUCAUGCAUGCGUGGGCAACAAUAACCUCACGAGAUC